This 87-nucleotide transfer RNA is filed under the name Rhodocyclaceae bacterium. RNAcentral's name for it is "tRNA-Leu". It matches the Rfam family "tRNA". From Rfam's summary of the family: Transfer RNA (tRNA) molecules are approximately 80 nucleotides in length. Their secondary structure includes four short double-helical elements and three loops (D, anti-codon, and T loops). The record is from RNAcentral. RNAcentral also lists the same sequence under 2 other names. Lineage: Bacteria; Pseudomonadati; Pseudomonadota; Betaproteobacteria; Rhodocyclales; Rhodocyclaceae.
GCCCGGAUGGCGAAAUUGGUAGACGCAAGGGACUUAAAAUCCCUAGCCAGCAAUGGCGUGCCGGUUCGAUUCCGGCUCCGGGCACCA